CCUACGGGGGGCAGCAGUGGGGGAUAUUGCACACUGGGGGGAACCCUGAUGCAGCGACGCCGCGUGGGUGAAGGAGUGCUUCGGCAUGUAAAGCCCUAUCGGCAGGGAAGAAGCAAGACGGUACCUGACUAAGAAGCCCCGGCUAACUACGUGCCAGCAGCCGCGGUAAUACGUAGGGGGCGAGCGUUAUCCGGAUUCACUGGGUGUAAAGGGAGCGUAGACGGCCAUGCAAGCCAGGGGUGAAAGCCCGGGGCCCAACCCCGGGACUGCCCUUGGAACUGUGCGGCUAGAGUGCGGGAGGGGCAGGCGGAAUUCCUGGUGUAGCGGUGAAAUGCGUAGAUAUCAGGAGGAACACCGGCGGCGAAGGCGGCCUGCUGGACUGCGACUGACGUUGAGGCUCGAAAGCGUGGGGAGCGAACAGGAUUAGUACCCGGGUAGUC
RNAcentral lists this ribosomal RNA (440 nucleotides) under uncultured bacterium. RNAcentral describes it as "partial 16S ribosomal RNA". It matches the Rfam family "Bacterial small subunit ribosomal RNA", at positions 338 to 795 of the family's 1533-position model. The record is from RNAcentral.